This 465-nucleotide ribosomal RNA is filed under the name uncultured bacterium. RNAcentral's name for it is "partial 16S ribosomal RNA". It matches the Rfam family "Bacterial small subunit ribosomal RNA", at positions 28 to 507 of the family's 1533-position model. The record is from RNAcentral.
GACGAACGCUGGCGGCGUGCUUAACACAUGCAAGUCGUACGGUAAGGCCCUUUCGGGGGUACACGAGUGGCGAACGGGUGAGUAACACGGGAGUAACCUGCCCACAACUUUGGGAUAACGCUAGGAAACUGGUGCUAAUACUGGAUAUGUGCUCCUGCUGCAUGGGGGGGGUUGGAAAGCUCCUGCGGUGGUGGAUGGACUCGCGGCCUAUCAGCUUGUUGGGGGGGUAGUGGCCUACCAAGGCGGCGACGGGUAGCCGGACUGAGAGGGUGACCGGCGACAUUGGGACUGAGAUGCGGCCCAGACUCCUACGGGAGGAAGCAGUGGGGAAUAUUGCACAAGGGGCGCAAGCCUGAUGCAGCAGCGCCGCGUGCGGGAUGACGGCCUUCGGGUUGUAAACCGCUUUCAGCAGGGACGAAGCUUUUUGUGACGGUACCUGCAGAAGAAGCACCGGCUAACUACGUG